CCUACGGGAGGCAGCAGUGAGGAAUAUUGGACAAUGGCCGAGAGGCUGAACCAGCCAAGUCGCGUGAGGGAAGACGGCCCUACGGGUUGUAACCUCUUUUGUCGGGGAGCAAAACGAACCACGUUGGGUUCCUUGAGACUACCCGCAGCAACAGCAUCGGCUCAGUCCGUGCCAGCAGCCGCGGUAAUGCGGAGGAUGCGAGCGUUAUCCGGAUUUAUUGGGUUAAAAGGGUGCGUAGGCGGAAGGUUAAGUCAGAGGGAAAAUGCCGGUGCUCAACACCGGCCUGCUGUUGAAACUGGUCGUCUGGAGUGAGGGAGAAGUAUGCGGAAUGCGUGGUGUAGCGGUGAAAUGCAUAGAUAUCACGAAGAACUCCGAUGGCGAAGGCAGCUUACUGGAGUGUAACUGACGCUGAGGCACGAAAGCGUGGGGAUCGAACAGGAUUAGAUACCCCUGUAGUC
Molecule: ribosomal RNA, 458 nt
Filed under: uncultured bacterium
Lineage: Bacteria
Description: partial 16S ribosomal RNA
Rfam family: Bacterial small subunit ribosomal RNA
Source: RNAcentral